AAGCCCGUGGUGGCAGAGCAGAACAGGCAGCACAACCAAAUGAGCUCAAAGGCCCAAUCAGCCGUUUCACUGACUCUGCUGAAUGCACAGGGUAUCGCAGAAACUUCUAGAACCUUCCAGACCAGCCGACGGUUAACUAUUUUGUCUGUGGUCGGGGACUCUAAGAGCCGAGUUCAUUUAGCAAAGUAAAGACCUUCUGAGCCUGUUAAGUCAACGGGAAUGGAGACAGAACUGCUCACUAGACCACCUGGUGAGGAAGUCCUCCAGGGAGGGCCCAUGACUGCCCUUCCUUCUCAGACAAUCCGAAGACGCUUCUCAGACCUCGAGGCCAUAGGAGGGAAUCCUUCCGGAUUUAAACAUGUAAAACGAGGUCUCUCCUUGCAAGGAUUUUGGCAUCCAUCAGAGCAAACAAAUCAGCAACGGGCAGCAAGGGAAACAAACAUGAAACCAACAGCAAGCCAUGUAAAUAGGCAUGAAGUUCAUUUUCUACAUGCGAUUUAAUGAUGCAAGGACGAACAAAUUAUUCUGGCGAUGGAGCAGGAGCGGAGAUGAGAGAAACAUCUCUCUGGACCAGCUACCACCAGGCACAAUCCAGGAGGCCCCCGCACAAACAGCCUGAUGCUGACAGACCAUUACGGAUACGACAAAGCCACGCAUGAGAUCUCAUCUCCCCAUGCUGUACCACCCCUCCUUUUCUACUGCUUCCAGGCUCUUGAUUAGUUUUUCUGAAACUAUUUUAGGGUUCCUGUGACUACUCUUCUUUACUCUUAAGCUUUUAGAAGGAAGUCAGGCAAUUAAAUGUGCAGAGCUAUUAUUA
This is a long non-coding RNA of Bubalus bubalis (water buffalo), 817 nucleotides long. RefSeq lists it as uncharacterized. NCBI's taxonomy places the organism in Eukaryota, Metazoa, Chordata, Mammalia, Artiodactyla, Bovidae. The transcript has 2 exons. The record is from RefSeq and is a predicted model, not a curated record.